This 676-nucleotide ribosomal RNA is filed under the name uncultured bacterium. RNAcentral describes it as "bacterial SSU rRNA". It matches the Rfam family "Bacterial small subunit ribosomal RNA", at positions 8 to 694 of the family's 1533-position model. The record is from RNAcentral.
AGAGUUUGAUCCUGGCUCAGGACGAACGCUGGCGGUGUGCUUCACACAUGCAAGUCGAGCGAAUGAAGUAGGUAGCUUGCUACUUAUGGAUUUAGCGGCGGACGGGUGAGUAAUAUAUAGGAAUCUGCCUUAGAGCGGGGAACAACAGACCGAAAGGUCUGCUAAUGCCCCAUAGGUAUGCAGUCUUCGGAUUGUAUAUUAAAGGAGUAAUCCACUUUAGGAUGAGCCUGUAUCCGAUUAGCUUGUUGGCGGGGUAAUGGCCCACCAAGGCUACGAUCGGUAGUUGGUCUGAGAGGAUGAUCAGCCACAAUGGGACUGAGACACGGCCCAUACUCCUACGGGAGGCAGCAGUGGGGAAUUUUACACAAUGGGGGAAACCCUGAUGUAGCGACACCGCGUGAACGAAGAAGCCUUUUGGGGUGUAAAGUUCUGUCGGCUGGAACGAAAAAAAUGACGGUACCAGCAAAGGAAGCAUCGGCUAACUACGUGCCAGCAGCCGCGGUAAGACGUAGGAUGCAAGCGUUGUCCGGAUUUAUUGGGCGUAAAGAGUUCGUAGGCGGUUAUUUAAGUCUGAUGUUAAAUACUGUGGCCCAACCACAGAACUGCAUUGGAUACUGGAUGACUUGAGUGCGGUAGAGGCAAGUGGAAUUCCCAGUGUAGCGGUGAAAUGCGUAGA